UCGCGUGCGCGGCUGCGGCGCUGAGUGGCAGCUGGCGCUCUCGGAGUGUUCAGCAGCCUCCGCAGUAGCUGGAGCAGCGGAGCCCAGAGGCUGGCGGCAGCUGCGGCAGCGGCGCAGUGUCAGAGUGACCACCCUGAAAGUCCAUUAUUGCCGUAGGAGAUCAAACCUGCAUUCUUCUCCAGCUUGUGUGUCAUCAGCAUAACUGCCAGCCAGGAUCUGAUAUGUUUUGUACCCAGAUUGAUGAACAUAAGAACAGCCACACUGGGUCAGACCAAAGGUCCAUGUAGCCCAGUAUCCUGUCUUCCAACAGUGGCCAAUGUCAGAUGCCCCAGAAGGAGUAAAGAGAGCAGGUAAUUCUUAUGUGAU
Non-coding RNA from Pelodiscus sinensis (Chinese soft-shelled turtle), 366 nucleotides. Lineage: Eukaryota; Metazoa; Chordata; Testudines; Trionychidae. The record is from RefSeq and is a predicted model, not a curated record.